CACGUAGGCGGCCUGCCAAGUCAGAUGUGAAAGCCCACGGCUCAACCGUGGAACGGCAUUUGAAACUGGCUGGCUAGAGGAUGGUUGGGGUGAGUGGAACUCCUGGUGGAGCGGUGAAAUGCGUAGAUAUCAGGAGGAACACCGGUGGCGAAAGCGGCUCACUGGACCGUAACUGACGCUCAGGUGCGAAAGCUAGGGUAGCGAACG
Molecule: ribosomal RNA, 207 nt
Filed under: uncultured bacterium
Lineage: Bacteria
Description: partial 16S ribosomal RNA
Rfam family: Bacterial small subunit ribosomal RNA
Source: RNAcentral